RNAcentral lists this ribosomal RNA (359 nucleotides) under uncultured Sphingobacteriales bacterium. RNAcentral describes it as "bacterial SSU rRNA". It matches the Rfam family "Bacterial small subunit ribosomal RNA", at positions 1025 to 1382 of the family's 1533-position model. The record is from RNAcentral. Lineage: Bacteria; Pseudomonadati; Bacteroidota; Sphingobacteriia; Sphingobacteriales.
AACUCUCUGCAAGGUGCUGGCAUGGUUGUCGUCAGCUCGUGCCGUGAGGUGUCGGGUUAAGUCCCAUAACGAGCGCAACCCUUAUCGUUAGUUGCCAGCGGGUAAUGCGGGGACUCUAGCGAAACUGCCGGUGUAAACCGAGAGGAAGGUGGGGAUGACGUCAAAUCAGCACGGCCCUUAUGUCCAGGGCUACACACGUGUUACAAUGGCCGGUACAGAGGGCAGCUACCUGGAGACAGGAUGCGAAUCUCGAAAGCCGGUCUCAGUUCGGAUCGGAGUCUGCAACUCGACUCCGUGAAGCUGGAUUCGCUAGUAAUCGCGCAUCAGCCAUGGCCGCGGUCGAAUACGUUCCGGGCCUU